UAUUAAAACUUGCGUAGGCUAUUUUUUCUGGAAAGCACAGUGACGUGAGCACUGCCGAGAUUCUUUUGUUAAGGAUCGCUUUAAGGGCACCCAAAGGGUUUUGUAGGACAGUAUCUUAUUUCUGUUUUACACCUUCGAUGAAUGUCGUAAGAUUUUCAAAAUAAACUUCCAUCAUCGAAUCUACUGGCCUUGUAGGUUCAACAAAAAUUAAAUCUGUACAUUCUUUUUAUUUUAAGCAAUUCUCUGGGACGUUUUAUUUGUUCUAAUUCCCAGUAUUUUCAGCCAAAACAGUCUGUCAUUGAGCUUAUCUAUUAUGCAAUAUUUCUGUUUGUUUAUAUCUACCCCCUCUCUUUCUACUAUAACAACCUCUAUAGCCAUCUAUAGACUCCACCCAGUUUUUUAUGUUUGUUUAUGUGUAAAAGAAUGGACUGCUGUACCUGUGAACACGAAAGUGUUUAUUGAUCUGUUCACGAUGUCUGUGGGAUAUAGGAACGCAAGGCUGUCGAUAGGCACACUUUUUGGGGUAAUUACUGUGGCAAUCUGGGUGGCGUUUUGUUGGCAAUUUUAUGAAAGGUUCAAGCCAGACUCGUCUACCACUGUAACAUCUCCUACUACAGCAUCUCCACUUACUUCUCCCACUACCACUGUAACCCCACCACCUGCUCUCUCAACUUCUGUCUCAACUCUCUCUACCUCCCCUGCAAGAUCUUCCACUGCCUCUCCUGCUACGGUGCCUGCUACAACACCCCCUUGGUGUGAGAACAGUGGAAGAUACCAAGCUGGGAUCUGUAUUUGUCCUGAUGAAUGGUACGGGGAUAAAUGCGAAAAAGCUUUUUUCUGCAACAGUAGUGUUGUCGAUUCUGCUGGUGAAACCCUCACGUUUGAUGCAAUUGUGGUUGGCUGGUUUGGUUACUCCAAGGAGCAGUGUGGAAAGGGAACACCUAAUGGUAUGUGCACCUCUUUAUAAAAUGUUUCUAUUAUAAAAUAGAACAGUAAAGCACAGUGAUAGUGCUGUAUGAUGAGAGUUAAUUAAUUGUGGUAAGCACCUUGUAGAACAUAUUAAUGUACACUCAAGCAUUGUAAAAGCAAAGUAAAGAUGUUAAAAUGUGUAGGAACAAAUGUGGGAAAACUGUGAAGUAGUUAUGACAAAUCACUAAUUCUGCAAAGCUUCCUUUGUGUGCAUUUGUUUUACUGUCAGUGAAAUAGUGUAAGCAGGUGACAACUUAUAUGGGCAUUCACACUUUACGUUGAUGUAAUGUGGCAAGAAGCAAUUCCUUCCCAAGAAAAAACAUACACAUUAAAUACGUUGUUAAUAUUAUUACUACAAUAUAUUUAA
Non-coding RNA from Lepisosteus oculatus (spotted gar), 1336 nucleotides. Lineage: Eukaryota; Metazoa; Chordata; Actinopteri; Semionotiformes; Lepisosteidae. The record is from RefSeq and is a predicted model, not a curated record.